AACGAACGCUGGCGGCAGGCCUAACACAUGCAAGUCGAGCGCCCCGCAAGGGGAGCGGCGGACGGGUGAGUAACGCGUGGGAACGUGCCCCAAGCUACGGAAUAGCCCCGGGAAACUGGGGGUAAUACCGUAUGUGCCCUACGGGGGAAAGAUUUAUCGCCUUGGGAUCGGCCCGCGUUGGAUUAGGUAGUUGGUGGGGUAAUGGCCUACCAAGCCGACGAUCCAUAGCUGGUUUGAGAGGAUGAUCAGCCACACUGGGACUGAGACACGGCCCAGACUCCUACGGGAGGCAGCAGUGGGGAAUCUUAGACAAUGGGCGCAAGCCUGAUCUAGCCAUGCCGCGUGAGCGAUGAAGGCCUUAGGGUUGUAAAGCUCUUUCAGGGGGGAAGAUAAUGACUGUACCCCCAGAAGAAGCCCCGGCUAACUCCGUG
RNAcentral lists this ribosomal RNA (431 nucleotides) under uncultured bacterium. Its description in RNAcentral is "bacterial SSU rRNA". It matches the Rfam family "Bacterial small subunit ribosomal RNA", at positions 29 to 507 of the family's 1533-position model. The record is from RNAcentral.